This 1642-nucleotide long non-coding RNA is filed under the name Malus domestica (apple). Its description in RNAcentral is "long non-coding RNA (MDOM_LNC016385)". Lineage: Eukaryota; Viridiplantae; Streptophyta; Magnoliopsida; Rosales; Rosaceae. The record is from RNAcentral.
CCAACUUCUUCUUCAGUAGUGGUGUCAAUCUGUAGAUGAAUUGUCUCCUUCUUCGUACGUGAUAUGUUUUCUAUUUUUCUAAGCAUUUUCCUUUGUUCUGUCCUCUUUGUUGUUUUGGAUAUCAUUUUGACAUUGGCUUUGGUUGAGUUUGACAUUUGUACAGUUAUUCUAACUGAAACCAUCUGUCAAUAUAGUUUUUAUUAGAAUGCAACUUGAUUAUAAACAAAUAAAAAUCAGUAUGAGUACACAAUUAUAUUUGAAACAUACCAAAGUGAAUUACUAUUUAUGGAAAUAGACAACAUUUUUAUAACUGCAUAAAUCUUUAUAAGAUUCAUAUAACUAAAUAAAUUAGAAAUAAAAAUGUACAAUAGGAGGUUUAUUAUGUGUAAGAUCUGGAAAAUUUGCAAUUCUAUUUAUAAAUGAAGUAAUUGUAAACUGUUUCGUAAACAUUGUUUAUCAAACUUAAAAAAACACAAACUAUUUACUGAAUGUACAAAUUAUUAACAGACAAUCACACUAGUUCGUGUCAUAGCAUAAUAUAUGUUUAUACUACUUGUUCGUGAAUGCAUCCCAGAUUUUACUAUUUUCGUACAUUUCAAUUCUAUUUACAAAUGAAGCAAAUUGUAAACUAUUUCGUAAACAAUGUUUAUUAAACUUAAAAAUCAUGAACUAUUUUACUCAAAUGUAAAAAUUACAAACAGAGAAUCACACUAGUUCGUGUAAUAGCAUGAUGUAUGUUUAUAUAUUGAACAAUUAGCUAGUAAAUAGUCUUUUUUUGGGUGGAUCUGUGAUGGAUUCGUACUGAGAGUAAAUAACAAAAUAAAUUUAAGCAAAUAGUAUAAUCUGGGUUUUGUUUAAGUUGAUGCAUGUUAUUCUAUAUGCUUGAUUUCAGUAGAUGUUAGUUAUAUAAACAAUGAACCGUAUGCUUUUGUGAAAUAUACUGAGAAAAAUUGUAAGAUUGUUACCUUUCGUUUAUUUUCUGGGUAUUUCUGCGACCAAGUUGCUCAGCGAAGCUGAAAUUUGCGUGAAUUCGUUCGUAAAAGAACUGGAAUGAUGUACGAAAUCGGUGGCUUCACAAGUGUAGUUGCAAUUUGAGCUCUUUUGGCAAAUACUUCUUCCUUCUCAAAGGUGGCUUCUAUUGGUUUGGCCUCUUGCACUUGAUUUGCAAAUUGAAUGACAAAUAUGCCACAAUCCAAUCUGCAUUUUUUUUUCUUGGAAAAACAAAUAAGUAUGACAGAUAAUGAGAUCAUAUUAUAACAUUCGAUGACAUAUUAAAAGUGAAAAAUGAAACCAUUUCUUGUUUGUAACACUGUUAUGCAAACUAGAACUAUAUCUGAAACUAUAUUAUGACACUAUUUUGCAAAGUCUAAAUUUAGAGUAUAUUUUCCUAGAAUGAUUUUGUUUUCUAUUUUCCGUGUCUCAUUUCCAUAUAUUUGUAGUUAGAUGACAUAUAAUUACUAAAAAAAUGAACUAUUUGUUGAUUUGUAAUAUUGUUUUGUAAAGUGUAAAGAGUGAAAAAUCAACUAUUUCUAAAACUUCUUAUGACAUUAUUUUGCAAACUGCAAACUAUUUUUCAAGUAUGAGUCUUGUGUUUGUAUAUAUGAUUUUCAUGGUCCUUCUUAUGUGUUUGAAUGUAUAAAUU